Molecule: small nucleolar RNA, 194 nt
Organism: Symsagittifera roscoffensis
Lineage: Eukaryota; Metazoa; Xenacoelomorpha; Acoela; Convolutidae
Product: small nucleolar RNA U3
Exons: 1
Source: RefSeq, a predicted model, not a curated record
AAGAUCGUACUUUCACGGAUCGUUUCUGGUGUGCGUAUCUUGGCCCUGCGGAGGUAACCUUCACAAUUCAUGUCAGUCCGAUGAUGACAGGUUGAGUCUUUCUUCAGCAAUACAGUGGAAGAAGAUAUACUUUUUCUCUGCCGUCGAUGAUUGAUUGGUUUCUGGGAACAUUGGAAGUGCGCUUUCUGAGGACU